This is an RNA transcript of Hylaeus volcanicus, 17945 nucleotides long. It is a transcript of the gene named furin-like protease 1, isoforms 1/1-X/2, with no coding region annotated. The transcript is spliced from 13 exons. The record is from RefSeq and is a predicted model, not a curated record. NCBI's taxonomy places the organism in Eukaryota, Metazoa, Arthropoda, Insecta, Hymenoptera, Colletidae.
UACGCCGUAGGAAUGAGAUCGGAAUGAGAAACAACGUCGCACGAUCCGACAUUCGCGCGACCACGGUGACACGAUUUAAAGACUGCACGCGGCUCGCACCGUACACAUUAACGUGUCGCGAUUCCGUAUUCACUUGCGCGGGUGGGUAACCGUGACGUUGAAGUUUGGCGGCACGCGAGAGGCGUGUUUCCCAGGCUGUGCAACUGUGCGGUGCUAUUCCCGUUUCUCCAUCUUCCGCAUUCCUCGCACCGAUUGGAGUAUCUUUCUCCGUGCACGAGGCGUCGUAUCGACGGCGCUCCGAAAUUAUCGCGCCCAGACGGAUCUCUUCGCCCCGAAGGAAAAGGUCGACGUAACGGAGCAGAAAACAAUCAAGAUUGUCUACGGCUGAUCAGAGGAUGAACUAACUGUUAAAUUUCCAAGAGGGACCGAGGAGGGCAGACGCGCGUCAUCGCCAAAUUUUCCUAGGCGUCCGGGUUCGGGAGGAUGCAGCGGUCGAUGACGUGAAUCGACCGACUAUCGGUCGACGAGUACGUGCCUCGUCGUCGGUUGAAUGGCUGGCCAAGCACUCGGUUCUCGUUGUCCGAGGACUGUCUUCUCACGGUGCCGGACGAACCACGAAUAGGCGUGUUUCCUGUACACCGAUCCAUACACUCGUCAGCUCGUAGACUGGCCGAUUCGUUUUAGCCAUCAAAUACUGACCCCGUAGUCGUUUCGUCGUCUCCGCGGAAUUCCCUCCACUAUCAUCGACUCCGAUCCGUCCACGUCUUCCCUGGAAUCCCACGAGAUAAGAGAAACGACGGGCAUCAGAAUCGCGGGGACAGGGGAAGCAGAAUCCGUGGAAUAGCUCGCCGAAGCGUCGUUCUUAAGAAGCUUCCACCGAGGAACGAGUGGAAGGCCAGUCAUAGCGAGACCAAACGCUCGGGGAUAGGUCGGGAGCCGACUAGUGGCCAGUUUCCACUGGAGGUCGUACUCGCGACGGAUGAAGGCAACGCUCCAGGUGAACCGUCGGUUCCGCGAACGUCGCCCUUGAUCCAAAGGUCAGGUCGGCCACGUGCACAGCCGCGUACACGUUCACGAUUAUCGGUAUCACGAGGAUCGCGUCGAAUUCCCCACCAACUACGGCCACAUGACUUGACGAUCGCCCCACCUACCGCUGUUCGUCGUUGAGUGAAGGCGGCGGCAGUGGCAGCUACGUCAUAUAGGGAACGACGAGCACGACGACGACGACGACGGCGGCGACGACGACAACCGACGACGACGACGACGAGGAGGACGUGGACGAGGAAAGAGGAACAGAUAGCAGUAACAACGAGCACUGUGGAGGGCACUUACUUAAACAGUGACACACGCCGCUGGUGAUUCAGUUGGCGGCAGUCGGUCAGCAGGUGCGAAACGCGCUGCUGGAUUUUGCCUUUUCUCAUCCGGUUUCGAGCGUUUUCGAUAAGCUGGGUUUCGUUUCUUUUUUUUUUUUGUUUUCGCGGGAAUAUCGUGGGUGGACGUGACGGUGCCGUUGUUUGUUGUCGUUGUUCUUGUUACCUUCGUCGCCUUCUCCGCCGGUCGCAGUGGUGGUUUUUGGUGGAUAGUGGUGGAUCACAGUGUCGAGUGUGAAACUGGAGCCGUUAGUGGUAGCUGCCGAGGGGAAGAGCUAUCAUGUGCCCGCAGAGGAUUUUCGGACUGGCGAUCGUCGCGCUGGUGACUUUAGGUGGACGAGUGACGGGGUACACGAAUCAGUGGGCAGUGCACAUCGACGGGGGACCGGAGGUGGCCCAGCAGGUCGCACAGGAGCAUGGGUUUCAAUAUCUUGAUAAGAUAGUCGACAACUGGUACCACAUGGUGCACACAUCUGUGGUGAAGAGGUCCACGGAACCGCAUCUUGGGACACACGAGAGGCUAAUACGAGACCGCAGGGUGCGUCGAGCGGAGCAACAACGAGUCAAGUCACGAACGAAACGGGACCUGAUAAUCAAACGCGGUCCAUCCAGUCUACAGACUAUCUUGGACGACGAGAGGUGGCCUCAAAUGUGGUACUUGAAUAGGGGGAACGGAUUGGACAUGAACGUGCAAGACGCUUGGGCUGAUGGAAUUACUGGACGUGGUGUGGUGGUCACGAUACUUGAUGACGGAUUGGAAAAGGAUCACCCCGAUCUCUGUAAAAAUUACGAUCCACAGGCUAGCUAUGACGUUAACAAUCACGACGAAGAUCCCAUGCCGAGGUACGAUCUCUUGGACAGCAAUCGACAUGGCACCAGAUGCGCUGGUGAAGUUGCUGCAACUGCUAACAAUUCCAUCUGCGCUGUCGGCGUCGCCUUUGGUGCUGGUGUCGGUGGGGUGAGAAUGUUGGACGGAGACGUAACCGACGCCGUCGAGGCCAGGUCUCUCAGUCUGAAUCCUCAGCACAUCGACAUCUACAGUGCCUCCUGGGGACCGGAUGAUGAUGGGAAAACCGUCGAUGGCCCCGGUGAACUUGCCACCAGAGCUUUCAUCGAAGGAAUCACGAAGGGUCGAAAUGGUAAAGGGUCGAUCUUCGUCUGGGCGUCAGGAAACGGUGGCAGGGACCACGACAACUGCAACUGCGACGGCUACACGAACAGCAUCUGGACGUUGUCCAUCAGCAGCGCGACGGAGAACGGUCAGGUGCCCUGGUACAGCGAAGCUUGCUCCUCCACCCUGGCCACCACCUACAGUUCAGGUUCGACAGGGGAAAAACAAGUGGUGACCACCGAUUUACAUCACUAUUGCACGAGCAGUCACACAGGGACGUCUGCUUCGGCACCAUUGGCUGCUGGUAUCUGCGCCCUCGCCCUCGAGGCGAACAAAGAGUUGACUUGGAGGGACAUGCAACAUAUCGUCGUGAGGACAGCGAAACCUGCGAACUUGAAGGCCCCUGAUUGGGUGACCAACGGCGUGGGAAGGAAUGUAAGUCAUAGCUUCGGCUACGGGCUGAUGGACGCUGCCGCCAUGGUGCGAUUAGCCAGAAGAUGGCGAACAGUGCCAGAGCAACACAAAUGUGAAGUUUCCGCACCACACAUGGGCAGGCCAAUACCACCAAAGAGCCAGUUAACUCUGGAAUUGCACGUCAAGGAGUGUAGCGGUGUUAAUUUUCUCGAGCACGUGCAGGCGAAGGUAUCUCUGAUGGCCACCAGAAGAGGAGAUCUUCAGAUACAACUAACAUCUCCACAGGGUACGAAGAGUACUUUGCUUGCAAAAAGGCAGCACGACGUCUCGAAGGCCGGUUUCGAUCAAUGGCCAUUUAUGUCGGUUCACACUUGGGGCGAAAGGCCACACGGCACGUGGAAACUUGAAAUCCACAAUGAGGGUCGAUAUCAAGGCCGCGCUACUCUCCACGAGUGGGCGUUGAUUUUCUACGGGACAGCAACGCUGCCCGAUCGCACAGAGUACGCUCUGUACAACCCCGCUGGCAUCAGCAUCCCCAGGAGACCAUUCGUGAAGCCGCGCGAAACCGCGUUCUCGAAGGCGCAGAAUUCUCUGACAGGCGCCAAGAGCAAGCAGACUCAACACAAAUCCGAAAAAUCGGGAAAUCUCAGCCCACCCUACGUGGUGAACGCUCAGACUCAGUCUCAGAGGAAAGGAAAGGCGCGUGGUCAGCACAAGAAUGGGAAAUCUGCGAACAAACCAACAACGAAGCCGACGGUGCAGACAUUGAGAGGGUUGACGGCAGUCAGAGGACCCAACGCCGCUGGAGAAGUUCGCCUAAUCACGUCCAGGCCACGUGGAAGAAGCACACCGAGUCCAAUCACCACUACGAUCGCUCAGACCAAACCUCCCACGACGAUUCCAACCACCAGAGCGACCAGCAGACAAAGAAUCGUCGAGAUAGUGACCACGUCGUCCCUCCAGACGGGUCUCAUCCUCCUCGAGCCACCAGCGAAGCCUGUCAUCGAAAAUGUGCCGGAGUUUUUCCAACAGUACCACAAGAUCCAACAACUCUACCCUCUCUAUCCUAUUUUCGCUGGAGUGCGCGGCACAGGUCAGCACGCCACCAGGGCGAAGGGUCUGGACUUGCUGCAAGACGAGCAGAUGUUGGACUCGAAGAACAUGGACAAGGACACGCUAGAGCAAUUCAAGUUAGUGUUCUACGGCACGGACACAUCCCUGGACUUCGACGACGACCUGGACAGGGACAAGCCAGGGCCACCUGUGAACCAUCAGGAGGCGAUCCAGGACAAUACGGCGAUCGGUGCGAGGCACAACAUCGUGGACACCGAGGGCGAUCCGUGGACGGUCAGUCAGCAGAUAGAGCGCGUGUCUCAUCCCGAAGUACAGAGACCAACGACCGAAAACCAGACGAGCGGUUGCAGUUCCGUGGACCCUGGGAAUGGCAGGUGCCUAGGUGGGUGCCUCAUUCUACUCCUUCUAGCCUACCUGACCGGUGGAGCCAGCUGGGGGAACCUGGUAACCCGCUGGCAGGAGCCACCGAGUUCGGAUUUUCGGAGUCAGAGUGAUUUCGUUGGCGCCUCGGGUUCCAUCCCGACGUCGCUGAGCGAAAGACAGCCCUUCGACGUGAGCUCGGCGAUCGACAGAUCGUCGGGGGCACCUUGGUACUCAUGAUAACAUACCUGGACGAUCGACACCUCGGCCUCUCGGCGCAUGGUUUAACCAGAAACGAGAGCUCGCGCUAGGUGUCGACGCGUUCGUUCAAAACUUUGUGUGUUGUGAGAUCCCCCUCCAGACGGAGAUUAAACACCACCGUGUCUCGCGUCGCCAGUUUCCUCCACGACCUGUUUUCUCGUUCUGGGGAAGAACUCCGAGGAUGUGCUGAACAUCGAGCUUAAAAAGUCCUAAGGGCUUGUCCAAGUGUUGUUAAUGUGGACGCCCGAUCGCUCACCAACGUGUGUCGUUCUAGGGUUAGGAUUAGUUCAAUUAAGUGUCGCGUACAAGGGACCUCUGUGACUGGCACAGGAGCAGAAAGAGUUGUCUGGACGUUCGAGUGGAUCAUUAACGGGCGACCUAGGUCGUAGGCCUAGGACUGAUAGAUAGCGUUCGAGCGCGGGGGAAAUCGAUUUCACGUGCCACCCCGACGGAAGUGGAACGCGUAUGAUUUCUAUUCUUUUGAAUAUGCAGCGAACCCCUCGUUUUCGUCAUGAAUUAUUCAAUGCGGGUGUUACGGGCUUCGUGUCCUCCGAAAAUGGUACACUUUGAUGACGAUUUCAGGGGCGGGGGAGACGGGGAAUUCCGAUUUAAUUCGUUCAUUGCAAGGAGUUUAUACCCUAGGUAUUAUAGUUUUAUGUUACUUGGAUUUUCUUCCCGACUUGUACAGGAUAGAAGGAUGUCUACUUUUGUAAUUAUCGUAAUAUGGAAUGUCACUCACCUUAAAUGGAUCCACCUAUUAUAUAACCACCUAUAACUGACCCAUACUACAAUCUCAGCUGUCAUCAGCAAAAUGUGUGUACACAUUAAAGUCACUGCAAGUGGACAAUUCCUGUUCAAUCAACCACUACACAAAAUCUUCAACUUGUCCAUAUUCGAAUCCAUCCAUUUUGUAACCCUCUGUAACCCUCUGUAACUGCCCACCAAAAUGCCUUCAAACUGUAAAAUCGCUGCAAAUGGACAUUCCCUGUCCUCCCCACCUCACCCCCUACCCGUCGCCCUUCGAUUCCUCCCCAGCUACACAGCUGACCGCUCAAUUACUAAUCGCUGCCUUUCGAGAAAAAGAAUAAAAAUCUCGCCAAUUCUUUCCCUCUAAGCGUCGAAACUAAUCGCGAAGUCUGGCACCGAGUUAGCCGAUUUUCCCCGCGUUCCAUCGAAAGCAGAAUUACUUUUCGAUUGGGCGCGCUUCCAGCGACAGGCUCGCCAUGUUCGAUACGCCGAAACAGCUCGCGACACUUUUCUACGAAACGUAAAGUAGCCAUCCGCGAAACUGCCAGUACGAGGAUUGAACCUUAGGGAUCGCGUCCCGAGGACGAUGUCCAAUUCGUGUCCUCGCGAAUUUUCGUACAACGCAGCGUGAUCCUCGAUAAAUUGCCUCGCCUAACGUUAGUAUUACUAUUACCGGUACAAUCGCAGAAAACCGUUUCGAAGGCUCGCCGUAUCGCGUCGAGUCGUCGCUAGCGAUCGACUCUCCUAAACAGCCAAUAGUCGGAAGCUAAUUGAAUCGUAAAAUUCGUGAACGACGAACGAUCGAUGAAAUUCGUCGGCGUUCGAAUCUCGAAUACCACGAGGCGUUCGUAUCCAAUUAUUAUUACCGUGACGUGGUGUUACUUCGCGACCGCGAGGAGUAACCAUACACCGAUCCUAAUGCGAACUAUUCAUGACGAUGCUCAGUGGUAAUUCCGUUACCGUUUCCAUAAAACGCGAAACUUAUCUUUAGGUGUGCGAGAAGACCUGUUUCGGGUGUUGGUGAAAAAGAUAUCCCCAAACGAACCCCUACAAUACGUUCAGGGGGUGUGUGAUAACUGAAGCACCCUGUAUACAGCUGAGCAGAUUUCACGGAUCUGAGAAAACGAAAAUGAUAUUUUAAUAACCGUGCUAACGUGACGUACAUCCCCGUACAUAAGUUUCUGGACAAUUGAUUGCUUGGACAAAAAUGAAUCCAGGUAUUUACUUGUCUCCUUAUAUGAAUAAAAGCCAGCAUAACUGAUUGACAAAAUAUGGAAAUAUCCUUGUGAAAUAAGGAAUGUUUCUCCAUAAAUCUAGCGAUAAAGAAUAUCAUUUGUGUUUCUGAAUUCUCUCUGCAUCGGAGAAUACAUAUUGCCAAUAAUUUCUUUAAUAUCUCACCAGUAAUAACGAAACAAAAAAACAAUUCUAUGCGUCCUCUAUAUGCUCUUAAUACUUCCUUCGCGAAUAUUAACGUCCUAGCAAUGAAUUUCUUUAGUAUACCCGAAGUGAUACUGUUCCAUUCGAAAAUGUCCACAUAUUUAUGACCGCGGGUGUACGAGUCGCAAGUUCAGUAGUUACUCUCGGUGUAUCGAUUAACGAAACGAGCCAGCAUGUUCCAAGAGUCCCUCCGGUUCAUUUCUUUCAUAUCUCUCCUUUCCGCUCCCCGCUUUCUCCCCAGACUUUUCACUUUUAUGUUUUCCAUUUCUCCCUUUAUGCGCUGCCGGUUCCCUCUGUCCCUUUUCCCUCCGUUUUCUUUCCGUCGAACUUUCUCCCUCGCUUUCCCUCUGUAACUUUACUUUACCCAGAAGGGAACGUAAGCUGGGCUAUCAGCACUGCCGAAACAAAAAGGUAGCCAAGCGUUUACGGGGACGGCUGAUGCAAACGGCUAAGAGGAUACGUAGGAUGCGGCGUCGGAGUCUGUAAAGGAUACGAUUACGUAACUCUGAAACCUCGACUCGCUUGUUUCCGAUUUCAAGCGGAACGCUGCAGCGAGCUACGUGCGAAUUUCGCGCAAUUCUUGACCAAAGGGAAAAGUUAAGCAAGAAUUGGGAUAAAUGGACGUUGCUCCGUGUCUUCGCGAGAUUGAAAUUCGAUGAAUUCGGGUAUUUCGAUGGUGCGAAAUAUCGCCUCUCGACCGCAAACGGCCAAUUUGUCUAUUUCGAUCGUUGGAUAAUUGCUAUUCGAAUGGGUGAUUCUUGUGGAUUAAUUUUCCAGGCAUAUUCGAUCAAUUUCGAAGUUCGGAACAUCAAAGCUUUGUCUUCCUGCAGAGUACAUGCACGGAGAAUAUUAUGAAAGUGUAAUCAGUCAGCAAAUGGAAGUUAAUAGAAAGUCACUUACGUUUAAGUAACUAGACGAUAAUGAAACCUUGAUAUUUUUAAUAUGCUUUAAAAUACUCGACGGCAGAUCACCUUCUACAUUGAAUGAGCAGAACAAUUUUCCUCUAUCAGAAAAGUGAUGAAUUGUUCGAAUGGAUUACUAUUUAAGGCGCAAUUUCUAUGAAGUAUCACGUAUGAACAAUUUAUCGUUGGAAUAGAAUCUCAUUUUAAGAAACCAAAACGUAUUUAAUUAUUAAAGGGCAGAAAUGAAACGAAAUCCUAUCAAACUAUUACAUUAAACCACGCGUAAACGCCUACAUAGUUUCAUUGGUUGGAAACACUGCUUCUGUCGAUUGCUGGAACGAUUAAUUAAAAUGAAAUAUGCCAACCCCAUUCUCGAUAAAGAAAAAAAAAAGUUCUAUAAAAAUUAAAAAAAAAAAGCGUCACCGGUGAUUUGUUGACAGUUCGAAUGAAAAGGCGUGCGGCAUUUGGGUCGAGUAAAUUGAAUUUAAAAUGAAAAAUAAAGUAUCAACAGGAAACCAGGGCAAAUAAGAAAACGGCAUUAUAUAUUUACCAGAAAAGUUCGUAAUUUUUAGUUACCGCGAGAAGGAAUAUUUACGAUUGAUUAGACAUAUUUUUCUAACAGUAAUCGAAGAAUUUUAAGUCAACAAACAUAACGUUAAUCGUAAACGUCAUCGAAAUUGAGAGCAGCGGUACGCAUCAAAGGUAUUAAAUAUUUUAUUAAGUCAUAGGAGCUGAGUAACCUAAUUCGUCGACAAAGGGCAUCGUUUAUGUACCUCGAAUUGGACUCGCUCCAUUGUCGUUCCGCAAAGGAUCAGAGGACGUGAAAACGACAGACAAGCUCCAUCUCGGUCAAGUUAUUUCUCGGUUGAGACCACUGAUCAAAACAGGUAGCCCCGUUUAAGCGAUGAAGUUCUGAACGAAAACAAGAGCUUCACGUGCUCCGUGACCGUAUAACGAGCUUCCCGCAAGCUGUAUUAAUUUUGACGGAACCAUAAUUUCGUUAAAAAUAAGCGACCGGAUUAAAAGGAAAAUUUGGUGCUUCGAUCAUAUCGCGUUUUACCGAAAUAUUUUCUAUCGGCUAGAACCUGUGUACACCACGUUAUGCGAUUAGUAAAGACACGAAAAAUUGUAAUGGCCGCUCGAGCGAUAGAGAAAUAAAAAUCCAGGCCAACAAAGUUGGAAUGACCCACUUCGCUGUUAAUUGGUAUUAUUGGCCGUCUACCACAAAGAAAAAUUAAAUGGAAGGUACCGUUAACGUCUCUUCUCGAUGGGAAUUCUACAAAGUUUCAUUGUAUCGAUUAGGAUACAAAUUGUCACAUGGAUAUACCGAUGCAUAAACUGCAAAUCUAGAUUCUGAAAGCGAAAACCUCGUUUCGCAUAUCGAAGAGAAUAAACGAACAAGAAUAUAGGUGAAAUUUAACAGUUGAACUCUAAUGCAACAAGUGAUACCUUGACUCGAUAUUAGUGACCUGCUUUGCUUGAGUCUUAUUGUGUAUAAUAAUACUUAUUUAACGACUCGAAGAAUUUACAUAGCGAAAGACAGAAUGAAUUACAAAAAUUAAUCGAGUUUCAGAAUGUUGAAAUAUAACGAAAGGAAUCCCGUCUUUCUAUUUUGCGCUUCAUUUUUUGUGUAUGUAUCAUAUACAUACUUCCAUUCCUCUUUUGAAACCAUGUGACUCUUCUACAAGGGAAUCGCAAGACAUAAAAUAUAAAGAAUAUUAUUGCUCAUUGAUAAUUUAGAAUCGCCCAAAAGUGAGACUCCACUCUACGAGUUGCUGACGAAAGUGCAACGAUUUAAAAAUACUUCUUCUUAUCCUUCUUCCUUUCGAACGAUGCUUCCGCCAUCCACCUUUUCCAAUGGUUCCUCCAUUCGUUCGUUCGAACAGCGCCGAAAUAGUUGUAAUAAGUUUUUCCUAGCGAAUAGACAACUCCAGGUUCGAGGGUGUCGAUUGUUAUCAUUCGGUUAUCAGCAGCGUCUGCUUGUUGUCCGUUGUUAUUGUAUUGCAAAUCAUAUCACUGUAACCGGAUGCUGCGCAUUAACGUCGCCUGAUUGGGAACGACGAUACCUGGAAGCAACGCGUUAUCGUUGUUUUCACGUAACGCGGCACAUUCAGCGCGAUCGGCCGAGUAUGUUAUCAGACACAUAUCAUUUGCAGCGUGUAGGUGCUUCUACAUUAAAUUCAAACGAGACGGCCUCGAAUUUUCAUCCCGAAUCACCAUUCACGCUUGAAAUCAUGGUGGUCGAGAGAGACGGGACCGAGUCCGUGGUUGGAUACUAUCGAUACACAUUGACGUCAACAAUUUAUUCUUCCGUAUCAAUCCGCUCGACGGAAUUCUCGCGAAAUGGUUUGUACCUUGUCGAAACUUGUCGCGCCGAUACGCGUCAAUUACAGCAAAUGGACAAGUCGUAGAACAGCUUUAUCCAAGAAACUAAGUUUUAUUGAUUCGGUUUGCUAGCGAAGAAACGUCGAGUUUAAUUCUCAUGGGCAUUGGAAUGAUAACUGCAAAGAAAUAAUUGUUUUGCAUGGUGAGUAAAAUGGAAAGUGUCCAUCUCUACCGAUAAAAAUGAGAAAUGAGCGUUUCGACAAUGGUUUCGAUGACUGCUCGAUCGCUCGAUACUUUAGAAUUGAUACGUAUCUAUAUUAAUGAAUAUUCCAUGAGUCGAUGCGAUUUAAGCUCAUUGUCGGGCUCGUCUCGCGUUUCCAAAACUCAUUUUUCAGGCUUCGUUCGACCAUCAUGAUUGCUGGCAACAAAAUGUCUCGAACUCGCAGUAACGUGGAGUUGAAUGAAGUGUAGAAGCCAGCACGCCUAUUCUCUUAACGAACAUGUUACAGCUUAAACGCUACAGGCUUGUCGUUAUCUUCGGAAAUAUAAAAUCCAAAAGUCUCUUUUAGAAAAUUUGUAUAACUCAAACUUUAAUUUUCAUCGAACUCACAACAAGUUUAUUUCUUAUUCGUUAUUUAGUAUUUCUUUUUUUUUUUAUCGAGCCCGCUCAUCGACCGAAGGCAACGACGAUCCCCCAGUUAUAAGUAUAAUUGUUAUUCCAUCUAGUUUCGUGUUGCUAUAUGUUUAUAGUUAGACAAUUUUUUAGCGAAUCAGUUAAAUGCGUGCUGUGAACCGUACGAAACGUACUUACAAAAAUUGGUCGAUUAAUUUCACGUGGUUGCCAUAAGCGCAAACGGUCCCACGAAGCUUCUCUUUCGGUUCGGAAACCUCGAGAUACGUUCACGAUACUUCGCACAGCAUUCGUUUACGAGAAGGUUCGUGCACGUUAAGUUAAUCGAGACCGCGACGCACAACAUACAAAUCGCGACGCACAAAGCAAUAUAAUACGCUUCCAUAUACAAGGCCUCCUGAAAUACGUGAUCCCGUGCAACUGGAGCUGAUUUCUAUCAAGAAAGCAAAGUAAAUUACGUGGCGUAAUAGUUUUUCCCAUUAGCUUUAAUUUUCGAAACAAUUGUCGUCGACAUUUUAUUUGUUAUUCGAACAAAAUUGUACCCUCUCUCUAAACUGAGUAAAUUUUAUGAAAACGUCUAUUUUCUUAUGGGAAAAUCUAACAAACCCCUUAGGUACAACAAUUCUUCGUUUAAUUUCCAUAUUAAUUAAUGUUCGGAAUGUAAAUACAAACGAAAAUAAUUUCUCUCAAGAAGGAUAAAAUAAACCUAACGCAAUGGGGGUUGCAAUUGCGAUCGAUUUUCUCGAAAAUCAAGGCUCCUGGAAAAAUUAUAUUUCCACAAUAUAAAUUUCUUUCUUCCGAACCACUCUAUUCCAGAUUGCACCAGGCAUUUUAGGGUGCUCUAUAUUUAAUAGUUGACGCUUUGCAGGCAAUCGUUACAUUCGUUGAGCUUUCAUUCGCGUGUACUUAGACACGACUUAGAAACGACUUAGAAAUGAUUUAUCCUUGAAAAUACUAUCGUUUUCCGUUCGUGAUAAUUUCGAGUGCGAGGAUACAGUUCCGUAUAUUGUAUAUUUAGCUUUUAAUUUAUUAGUCGCAUAGGCACUGGAGAACAGCGCAUAAUACACGUUCCAAAGCGCAGGAGCCAUACGUAAAGUGCAUAAGAGCGUGGAAAUUGAACAUAUUCGGAAGAUUAAUUAACAAGUUUACCCGAUGGAAAAGUCGAAACGGUGGCUUUGUUUCAAAUGUAUAUAAUAUGGCACUGGAGAACAGCGCAUAAUACACGUUCCAAAACGCAGGAGCCAUACGUAAAGUACAUAAGAGCGUGGAAAUUGAACAUAUUCGGAAGAUUAAUUAACAAGUUUACCCGAUGGAAAAGCCGAAACGGUAGCUUUGUUUCAAAUGUAUAUAAUAUACGUAAUCGUACAGUUUAUAUUACAUGGUGGCAUAUUACAAAUUAAUAUCUGAGUUGCAAACAUGGAGCCUACCGACUAAAACUGGUUUCCGAAAUCUACUUAGCAGCCAAAUAUUAAUCAACGAACCUUCGUCAAUUCAUUACUGCCAAACACUGAAAUCAUAAUGAUUAUUUCUUAAAUUAAUAACUAGUUUUAGGCCACUGAUAAUAAUAGAAAGUCAAAUUUUUAUACGAAGAAUUAUUUUAAAAUAUCAACUGUUGGAUGCCAGUUUUAAAUUAAACAUUAUAAUUGAGAAAUCAAAGAUAAGGAUUGAUAGUCGUAAGCAUUAAUACUUAAAAAUUUGGCAUCAUUUUGAAAUUAAUAGUCAUGGUUCACUCUGAGACCAACAUAGAUCAUGUCCUUCAUCUUUAAUUACUUUUUAUAAAACAUUUUGAGUUUGCCAUAAGUGUUCAAUUACGUUGGAUUACAUUUACCUCUCUGUCCCUUAAAUAUUCUUCCGAUUUUCAACAUUUUCUAAAGCUCUCACACCUGGUGCUAGAGAAACUUUUCCAAUGCAUAGUUAUCUAUGUAGGAAUCUUGACAUGUUGCAUUAAAAUGUCGAUAUUUCAUUGGUAGAUAGCCAUACCUCGAGACUUUUCGAAUAUUAUGAGUAUUAAUCUUGGAAUAAAUCUCUGUGCUAUUAACGUGUUUCGCGAGCUAAGUUAAAAAUGUUAACUAAGAAUCUAUGGAAAGUUAUUUAUACGUUCAAGGUUUCCAGUGACACUCUUCUAUGCCCUUACGUGUGUGUUCUCACCCAACCCUCUGUAAUCUACGAAUUAUUUAAUUACUCUUCGAGAGAAACGAGGACUCCGAUAAUUCAAAACUUCCCUCCCCCUUUAUUCAAUUCCACCACGAUUUUCUUCCCCCAAGAACAAUUUUCUAUUAGGCCAAUGAACGUCUAAAUUUUUGGUAUGACAAGAAAAUCAGGCUUAUGGAGGGUUAACCGUACGCAUAAAAAUUCAUGUAUAAUAACUGUGUACAUACGUACAAUGGACGAAAACACCGACACGAGGCGUACAGAAAUCGAUCAACGACGAGAGGGUCCCGACUAUCGUUCGUUCGACUUUCGUGCGAAGUUGCGAAGGCGAACCGAGAACAUCACCGAAACCCUAACAAACUGUUUUCGAUCAACUAUAACUGAAUUCACAUCCGAUGUAGACAUAUACGAAGACUCUCGACAUCUCACCAAACUGAUUCCAAGACUUUUAACUUUUUGAGGCACAUGACUCGGAAGACAAAUAAAUCAGCACAGAAUUACGAUCGCAUUCAGCUCCAAAAUUACUAAGAAAAAUUGAAAUUCAUGUUUCUUUUAUUAUAAGAUAUUUUAUUUACUCGUAACAUAUUUAUCCUGCAAUUUUUAACCUGCCCAACCUCAAAGAGUUGAAGAACAGUCGAAGACGCUGAAAUUCCUGAUUUCGAGAGCACGCCGGAAUAAAACAUGUACAGAAUCUCUCGAUUCCGAAUAUUCGCUUGGCUCGAAGGUCCUCUUUUCGUUCACGAAAAAACCGACCAGUCAAAUGGAGUGGAAAAGUGGAGAAGAGAAUUUGAUUAGACACGGCGGAGUUCAUGUAACGUCGAUCCCGAAAAAGAAAGUUCACGAAUCUACUAAGCGUGUAUAUUGGAUUCUAACGAUUAGAACCAAUUAUUUUAAUCAACGUGGGGAAACGGGGGGGUGAUGAUAGUCGCGUAUGAGAUUUUGGAUGUGUUUCAAUUCGUUCUGGUGUGAAGUAUCUUCCAAGGUGUACAAUGCAUAGGACGUCACGGCUGGACAGUCGAAUUUCCGAAAAUUUCACGGACCGCUUUCCCGUGAAAUGUUGGCCGCACGCUCUGAUGCUUCGUAGAUUUUAUACAAGGCGGAAUCACGUGUCGCGAAAAUGUAAAAUUAAGAAGAGCGUGACUAGCGUUGCGAAAACGCUAAUAGUCCACGACGGUGUAGUAGCAUUCGCGAUUCAGGUACUUAAUAGCUUAGACGAAAUCGAUCUUCGUGGUUUGAAUUACGAUCGGGAAUUAAUUUUAAUUAAUUACGGGUUCCCGUUGUCGGUGUGAUAGACGUUUAACAUUCGAUAAUACCACCGGAAUCGUGUGUGGUUUUCGCGUGACAAUAAUUAACUAUGCUUCGUGGAUCAUGAAGGAUACAAGCAUUGGCACGGAGAAGGUAUUAAGUUAAGCUUGGUGUAUUUCGAACGUUAGUGCGCGGUAAAGUAAAGUUUCGUUCGAACGAUAGGUGGCGAGUGAAAUCAAACCUGCAGCGAUUUAUCGAUUUUUGUUCGAUAUGACUCCAUAAUUCAGAUUCUAAUUUUUAUUCAACUUAUAACGAAUAAGAGAUCAUUUGUUUUUGAUUAAACGUUUGAAAUUCUAUUCUAAGUAAAGAACACUUGCUUCUUAGACAUAAAAUUCACUCCAAUUCGUGAAUGAAACGAAGCCAUUAAUCUCUCUGCUCGCUCGUCGCACUUCUUAAAAUAUCGUAAUCAAAAUCUUGACCCUGUGAUGUCGUAAUUUUGUACUUAACGAAAGAAGAACGGAUGUUUAAUUUUGUAACUCAUCGCCACGAAAGCGAACUCUAAAAUAUUAGAAGGAAGGUCUCGAUCUUUAGGAGGGACGAGGUACCUCCGGAAAUUGUAUUUGAAACGCUUUAAUAUUGAUCGCUGUCUCAGAGCAUCGCGAAGCUCCCUUUAUGGAAGUAUCUUUCCCUUUCCCUAUGAAAGGGAAAGGGAAAGGGAAAGUCCCUUUCUUUACGAAAGAAAGAAAAAUAAUGCCCAAAUCAAGUCGGAUUUCCGGAACUGUCCAGCGGUGGCACGGUCCGCCAUAAUGUUAAUGUAUCUAUUGUAAAUGUUUGUAUAUGUAAUGUAAAAUGUAUCUUUGCUUGGAAAGGCGACAUAUCCUAAGUUAUAGAGUUCUGAGACAAGAGAAACGGAGAUGUAAGGUGCGAAUAGCCCCGACGUGUUCACGCCUUCACACCAUUUUCUUCCUCCUCGUGUGUCUCGAUUUUCGUUUCUUUCCUUUUUCGCUCGAACCAGUACUCGAUAAGCUCGCGAACAGAGAAAAACAAAUGGGGGAUCUCGUAUGGGAUUCCUCCUUUCCUCUGACAAAGCAUCAAAGAGCGACGAGAACGAAGAAAAUAGCGAGAAAAGGUGUCAGGGCAUGCCACGUACGUUUAUGUACACAUAUACAGAAUAUAUUGUAUAAGUAAUUGCAACUACUAUGAACCAUUAUAUGCGACAUUGAAAUUUGUAUAUCAUGGAUGAAUUAAAAGGGGAAAAUAUCCUGAAUAAGAAAUCACCGAGCAUAUUAUUAAUCACGAACGAACUGUUAAUAGCUAUUCGAGCGUCAUCCGAUUAGAUUACCGCGAAGCGAACACACGCACACACACGAACACACAUGGUAACCUGGUUUCUAUUUAACAGGGAAACAGGUACGUGCCACUAAAGCAUGCUUCCGUCGACAUUAGUGUAGAUGGCGAAGGGGCGAAUGCUCGACCAGUAGGCUGCAUGUUUAGCAAAUUCACGUGGUUAUGCGAUCGUGACGUGUUUGACCCGUCAUCGAUGGGUUUAGGAGCAAAAAUUACGGAAAUGAUCUAUGAAUUACAUUUGACGUACUGUGGUUCCAACGGAAAUCUAGGGGAUAUCUUAGAGCUUGUCAUAAUUGGACGUUUGUUCAUGUUUGUUGAUGAUUUGAAUGAAUUUAAUCGUGAUGUUUCUGGGAGAACAAAUGGGGCAAUAUUUUUAAGUGUUAUAGAUCUGCAUUUAUUAGACGAUAAAUUAAAAAAGGAAAUUUUUUUUUAACAUCGCAUUCGAUUUGAAUUAUAAUAUUACGUUUAAUAGUAAUUUAAUUCAAAACCAACCUUGCGAACGUAAUUUAACGAUUGUGUGUAACGGUAAAAGAAAUAUUUAAAUAUUUAAAUUCAUACAAAAAAAAGAAAUUAUUAUGAUGAGGGUACGUAGUAGUAACACGAAAGUGUUGCCUCGCAAACUUGUCUUUAAACUAUGCUAAUAUUAAAUGUAAUUAAACGGCAAGCUAUCUAAGUUAUUUUUUAUACCACUGCGUUUAAUUCAGAGGAACGAAAUUGACUUGGGAAAUUUGUUACCGUUCCCCGAAUAAAAGCCCAUUCGCUGUCCUGGAACUUUGUUCCGAAAAUGGCAUUGGUUGCCUCAUAAAAUUACCCCGGGUGCAUUAUUCAUGAACGCGUCGUCCAAAAGUAGCGAAUUUUACUAAAUACGCCAUCGGUGCUAGUGCUCACGUGAAGUCUGAUUGAAAGAUAAAUGUUAAUGACGGGAUUUAGAGGGAUUUGAAUACAGAGAUGAGGGACGCCCAGAUGAUAGGGGCACACUGUUAAAAGUUAACCUAGGAAUAGAUUUUAAUUUAACUUUUGUGUAUACGAAAAGUUUUCUGCUUGCACUUCAUGCAUAAUUCAAACGAACUUUCACGUGAACUUUGAGAGGGACUCUAUAAUACCUGUAUUUGAAUAAUGAAAAUACUUAACAGUUUGCCUAGUUACGCAAUAUUAUCUAAUAGCUACGGCUCAUGGAAUCGUACGCGUUCAUGGCUGAGGCAUUCUUGAAUUUUUCAUUUUCCGUUCUUGCGGCGACUCGGUUGGUGCCCUUUGUUGAAAACUUCCUGGCUUUACGUGAAUUUGAAAAUACCGCAUUGUAUCUGGAACGUUUCUUUGCCAACGGAAAUGCUUCUUACAAAUUUCUUUUCUGUCCUUCGGGAAUGAACCCCCGAACUUUCCUCGACGUUAAUACGUUCGCGUCGCGCAAACUGGCUUUCUCUUUGAAAUUAUUGAAACGCUCGACGUUGCACGUUUUCUGCAUGCGAUUUCAGUUGGUAAGCGUUACUAUCAAAUUAUUAUUGCAUGCAGAGUAAAUACAAGAGUAAAUAUAAAAGUGAGUUUAAAUUCUAUUAUUUCUAUUCUUUUACCACAAAUAACAGGAGUGUGGACUUGUCUUCUCUGAUAUCACUUUUCGCAAUUUGCACAUGGUUUAAAAGUAAUUUUGUGUAAACGUAUGUGUGAAUAACUAAUACUAAAGAAAAUUGUCGAGACAGUAGUAGCAUUGCAUUAACAUUUUCGUAUAGUUUUGUAACUAGAUUGUAGAGUAUUAAUCAAAUAGUUUUAAAGUAAUUAAGGUACUCGUUAUUAUACGUUAAUAUAUUAAUAAAACACGUUAUUUUGUUUCAAAUCCUUCAUCAUUUCAUAAUGGAGUUUUUUAACAGUGCAUCAAUCGCUGCAAUUUGUUUGUCCUACGUGUGUAUAUUCUCAUGCCUUCAGUUUUCAAUUUUACGUGUUUGUUUACCCACUUUCCUGGAUCGAGCACAAUUUCUUGAGCAAUAUCCUGUCUGUCAAAUAAAUUUCUUAACGUCCCACAGGUGAAUAUCGAGCUGUCUGUAGACGAUGAAAUUUUCAAUAAUGUCCCAUUUUAGUAGCAACUAAAAACUACAAAUAUGAUUUGUAACUGACGUCUAGCAUUUUUUAAUAUAACAUUAAUCAGUUUAGAUUUUCAAUCGUGCUAAUGUUUAUCGGAGUGAAGAAGAUCAAAAUUGAAUUCUCUGGAAAAAGAUUACUUGUCACACCUGAUGUGUCACGUGUCGCUUUAUCCCUCUACUCCAUAGCAGGAUUCUGAAAACGUAUUUAGGUACUUGGGGCUCUCCAUGGGCGAGUUGCGGUGCGGAUUUUCUCAGACCAGCCAACUACCACCAACCACCAUCACCAACCACAUCCACAUCCACAACCACACACGUACAACCAAUAAAAAAAGACCUAUCCCUGAUCGCUUCACCAGCACGAGUGUAAGCCGAACUGGUACCGCCACGUCGGGCUCUGCGUGUUCGAGUGCCCAACCACGACUUAUGGCAUUUCUGACGAGACCAAAGCAGUCUGCGCUCCUUGCCACUACUCCUGUCUAACUUGUUCAGGACCUUUGG